AUUGAACGCUGGCGGCAUGAUUUACACAUGCAAGUCGAACGGUAACAGGCCGCAAGGUGCUGACGAGUGGCGAACGGGUGCGUAAUGCAUCGGAACGUGCCCAGUCGUGGGGGAUAACUACUCGAAAGAGUAGCUAAUACCGCAUACGAUCUAUGGAUGAAAGCGGGGGACCGUAAGGCCUCGCGCGAUUGGAGCGGCCGCUGUCAGAUUAGGUAGUUGGUGGGGUAAAGGCUCACCAAGCCAACGAUCUGUAGCUGGUCUGAGAGGACGACCAGCCACACUGGGACUGAGACACGGCCCAGACUCCUACGGGAGGCAGCAGUGGGGAAUUUUGGACAAUGGGCGCAAGCCUGAUCCAGCAAUGCCGCGUGCAGGAAGAAGGCCUUCGGGUUGUAAACUGCUUUUGUACGGAACGAAACGGCUCUGGUUAAUACCCGGGGCUAAUGACGGUACCGUAAGAAUAAGCACCGGCUAACUACGUG
This 482-nucleotide ribosomal RNA is filed under the name uncultured bacterium. Its description in RNAcentral is "partial 16S ribosomal RNA". It matches the Rfam family "Bacterial small subunit ribosomal RNA", at positions 30 to 507 of the family's 1533-position model. The record is from RNAcentral.